AUGGAAUAAGGUGGCUCGACGUAUGUGAGAGGCAUUCUUGACAUAUGACCAGAUCAUUGAGGAAUAUAUACUCCUGCUGAAGCACAUAAAAGAAGUUAAAAUGGGUGGGGUACAAGUUCAUAUAUUCUGAAGGCAAUGGGGCUGAUUGACUAAAGAGCCGAAAAAAGAUCGAUAUAUUAAAUUAUCGGUUAUCUAAUUAUUGAGCAUGAUGUUCUUCCAUCAAUCAAGGAGAGAAUCCAUGUUUUAAGCCUGGCUUUGGUAGGUUGACACCAACUAUAUGCUCACCAAACACUCAAAUCUGUUCUGGCUCAAAUGGUUGCAGGUCACUACUAAUCAUCCUCUCUGUAUGACAACCCAAACCAGUUCAUUUCUACAUUAAAUUAUUAGACCAAAAUAACAAACACAUUGUGAUGCCAAUCUUUGUUCAUGUU
Molecule: long non-coding RNA, 431 nt
Organism: Dioscorea cayenensis subsp. rotundata (Guinea yam)
Lineage: Eukaryota; Viridiplantae; Streptophyta; Magnoliopsida; Dioscoreales; Dioscoreaceae
Exons: 3
Source: RefSeq, a predicted model, not a curated record